CUGGUUGCUGGGGUGAAAGGUCGUUACCCAGGCUGCCCGCUCUCUUUGGCGCGAGUAUUUUUCUUUCCCGCGGGUUCGCGCGAGCGGCUUGUCUCGGGCAGUGCGGAGUUUUCGCGAAUAUUCCUUCAGCUGGCGGGAGGUGGAGGGAAACGGCGGAUUCAACGACCAAGGGAUCGUCCAUACGGAGUGUGCGAGACGGACGAUGUGCGGGUAGAGGAGGCCAGGCCGGCGAAUUGCAAGUACAAGAAUGAUGGCUGCUGCUCACCCAGUAGUUUCUGGCUUACUGCCGCUGUUGGAAACCUUGGAAGAUAUAUCUGUUUCAUCCACAGAGCAAGUGGAUGCUUACCUUACAAUUGCCAGUCGUCUGAGUGGAGAGGAUGGGAAAGAAUUUGCAACUGCAGUUGGCAAACAGUUUACUCGCCUCUGUGAAGUGUUCAAA
This is a long non-coding RNA of Rhincodon typus (whale shark), 439 nucleotides long. RefSeq lists it as uncharacterized. The transcript is spliced from 3 exons. The record is from RefSeq and is a predicted model, not a curated record. Lineage: Eukaryota; Metazoa; Chordata; Chondrichthyes; Orectolobiformes; Rhincodontidae.